This 483-nucleotide ribosomal RNA is filed under the name uncultured bacterium. Its description in RNAcentral is "partial 16S ribosomal RNA". It matches the Rfam family "Bacterial small subunit ribosomal RNA", at positions 29 to 508 of the family's 1533-position model. The record is from RNAcentral.
AUUGAACGCUGGCGGCAUGCUUUACACAUGCAAGUCGAACGGUAACAGCACUUCGGUGGCUGACGAGUGGCGCACGGGUGAGUAAUACAUGGGAACGUGCCUAGCAGUGGGGGGUAACUACUCGGAAGAGUAGCUAAUACCGCAUGAGAUCUAAGGAUGAAAGCGGGGGGCCUUCGGGCCUUUCUCGACUAGAGCGGCUGAUGGCAGAUUAGGUAGUGGGGGGGAUUAAAGCUUACCAAGCCGACGAUUUGUAGCUGGACGGAGAGGACGGACAGCCACACUGGGGAUGAGACACGGCCCAGACUCCUACGAGAGGGAGCAGUGGGGAAUUUUGGGCAAUGGGCGGGAGACUUAUACAGCAAGGCCGCGGGCAGGAUGAAGGCCUUCGGGUUGUAAACUGCGUUUGUACGGAACGAAAAGCCCUCUUCUAAUACAGGAGGGUCAUGAAGGUAACCUAAGAAUAAGGACCCGCCAAACACGGGC